GACGAACGCUGGCGGCGUGCUUAACACAUGCAAGUCGAACGGAAAGGCCCUGCUUUUGUGGGGUGCUCGAGUGGCGAACGGGUGAGUAACACGUGAGUAACCUGCCCUUGACUUUGGGAUAACUUCAGGAAACUGGGGCUAAUACCGGAUAGGAGCUCCUGCUGCAUGGUGGGGGUUGGAAAGUUUCGGCGGUUGGGGAUGGACUCGCGGCUUAUCAGCUUGUUGGUGGGGUAGUGGCUUACCAAGGCUUUGACGGGUAGCCGGCCUGAGAGGGUGACCGGCCACAUUGGGACUGAGAUACGGCCCAGACUCCUACGGGAGGCAGCAGUGGGGAAUAUUGCACAAUGGGCGGAAGCCUGAUGCAGCAACGCCGCGUGCGGGAUGACGGCCUUCGGGUUGUAAACCGCUUUCGCCUGUGACGAAGCGUGAGUGACGGUAAUGGGUAAAGAAGCACCGGCUAACUACGUGCCAGCAGCCGCGGUGAUACGUAGGGUGCGAGCGUUGUCCGGAUUUAUUGGGCGUAAAGGGCUCGUAGGUGGUUGAUCGCGUCGGAAGUGUAAUCUUGGGGCUUAACCCUGAGCGUGCUUUCGAUACGGGUUGACUUGAGGAAGGUAGGGGAGAAUGGAAUUCCUGGUGGAGCGGUGGAAUGCGCAGAUAUCAGGAGGAACACCAGUGGCGAAGGCGGUUCUCUGGGCCUUUCCUGACGCUGAGGAGCGAAAGCGUGGGGAGCGAACAGGCUUAGAUACCCUGGUAGUCCACGCUGUAAACGGUGGGUACUAGGUGUGGGGUCCAUUCCACGGGUUCCGUGCCGUAGCUAACGCUUUAAGUACCCCGCCUGGGGAGUACGGCCGCAAGGCUAAAACUCAAAGGAAUUGACGGGGCCCCGCACAAGCGGCGGAGCAUGCGGAUUAAUUCGAUGCAACGCGUAGAACCUUACCUGGGUUUGACAUGGAUCGGGAGCGCUCAGAGAUGGGUGUGCCUCUUUUGGGGUCGGUUCACAGGUGGUGCAUGGCUGUCGUCAGCUCGUGUCGUGAGAUGUUGGGUUAAGUCCCGCAACGAGCGCAACCCUUGUUCACUGUUGCCAGCACGUUAUGGUGGGGACUCAGUGGAGACCGCCGGGGUCAACUCGGAGGAAGGUGGGGAUGACGUCAAGUCAUCAUGCCCCUUAUGUCCAGGGCUUCACGCAUGCUACAAUGGCUGGUACAGAGAGUGGCGAGCCUGUGAGGGUGAGCGAAUCUCGGAAAGCCGGUCUCAGUUCGGAUUGGGGUCUGCAACUCGACCACAUGAAGUCGGAGUCGCUAGUAAUCGCAGAUCAGCAACGCUGCGGUGAAUACGUUCCCGGGGCU
RNAcentral lists this ribosomal RNA (1346 nucleotides) under uncultured bacterium. Its description in RNAcentral is "bacterial SSU rRNA". It matches the Rfam family "Bacterial small subunit ribosomal RNA", at positions 28 to 1381 of the family's 1533-position model. The record is from RNAcentral.